This 70-nucleotide ribosomal RNA is filed under the name Allomuricauda sp. RNAcentral describes it as "partial 16S ribosomal RNA". It matches the Rfam family "Bacterial small subunit ribosomal RNA", at positions 1 to 68 of the family's 1533-position model. Lineage: Bacteria; Pseudomonadati; Bacteroidota; Flavobacteriia; Flavobacteriales; Flavobacteriaceae. The record is from RNAcentral.
AUACAAUGAAGAGUUUGAUCCUGGCUCAGGAUGAACGCUAGCGGCAGGCCUAACACAUGCAAGUCGAGGG